AGUCGAACGAUGAACUCCGCUUGCGGGGGGAUUAGUGGCGAACGGGUGAGUAACACGUGAGUAACCUGCCCUUAACUCUGGGAUAAGCCUGGGAAACUGGGUCUAAUACUGGAUAUUGACUUUACCUCGCAUGGGGUUUGGUUGAAAGCUUUUGUGGUUUUGGAUGGACUCGCGGCCUAUCAGCUUGUUGGUGAGGUAAUGGCUCACCAAGGCGACGACGGGUAGCCGGCCUGAGAGGGUGACCGGCCACACUGGGACUGAGACACGGCCCAGACUCCUACGGGAGGCAGCAGUGGGGAAUAUUGCACAAUGGGCGAAAGCCUGAUGCAGCGACGCCGCGUGAGGGAUGACGGCCUUCGGGUUGUAAACCUCUUUCAGUAGGGAACAAGGCUACACGUUGUGUGGUUGAGGGUACCUGCAGAAGAAGCGCCGGCUAACUACGUGCCAGCAGCCGCGGUAAUACGUAGGGCGCAAGCGUUAUCCGGAAUUAUUGGGCGUAAAGAGCUCGUAGGCGGUUUGUCGCGUCUGCCGUGAAAGUCCGGGGCUCAACCCCGGAUCUGCGGUGGGUACGGGCAGACUAGAGUGAUGUAGGGGAGACUGGAAUUCCUGGUGUAGCGGUGAAAUGCGCAGAUAUCAGGAGGAACACCGAUGGCGAAGGCAGGUCUCUGGGCAUUAACUGACGCUGAGGAGCGAAAGCAUGGGGAGCGAACAGGAUUAGAUACCCUGGUAGUCCAUGCCGUAAACGUUGGGCACUAGGUGUGGGGGACAUUCCACGUUUUCCGCGCCGUAGCUAACGCAUUAAGUGCCCCGCCUGGGGAGUACGGCCGCAAGGCUAAAACUCAAAGGAAUUGACGGGGGCCCGCACAAGCGGCGGAGCAUGCGGAUUAAUUCGAUGCAACGCGAAGAACCUUACCAAGGCUUGACAUGAACUGGAAACACUCAGAGAUGAGUGCCCCGCUUGCGGUCGGUUUACAGGUGGUGCAUGGUUG
RNAcentral lists this ribosomal RNA (989 nucleotides) under Arthrobacter sp. Its description in RNAcentral is "bacterial SSU rRNA". It matches the Rfam family "Bacterial small subunit ribosomal RNA", at positions 60 to 1051 of the family's 1533-position model. The record is from RNAcentral. Lineage: Bacteria; Bacillati; Actinomycetota; Actinomycetes; Micrococcales; Micrococcaceae.